CAGCCGCCGCGGGAAUACCGAGGGUGCAAGCGUUAAUCGGAAUUACUGGGCGUAAAGCGCGCGUAGGUGGUUUGUUAAGUUGGAUGUGAAAUCCCCGGGCUCAACCUGGGAACUGCAUCCAAAACUGGCAAGCUAGAGUAUGGUAGAGGGUGGUGGAAUUUCCUGUGUAGCGGUGAAAUGCGUAGAUAUAGGAAGGAACACCAGUGGCGAAGGCGACCACCUGGACUGAUACUGACACUGAGGUGCGAAAGCGUGGGGAGCAAACAGGAUUAGAUACCCGGGUAGUCCCUGUCUCUUAUAC
This 301-nucleotide ribosomal RNA is filed under the name uncultured bacterium. RNAcentral's name for it is "partial 16S ribosomal RNA". It matches the Rfam family "Bacterial small subunit ribosomal RNA", at positions 509 to 807 of the family's 1533-position model. The record is from RNAcentral.